Molecule: ribosomal RNA, 253 nt
Filed under: uncultured bacterium
Lineage: Bacteria
Description: partial 16S ribosomal RNA
Rfam family: Bacterial small subunit ribosomal RNA
Source: RNAcentral
UACGUAGGUGGCAAGCGUUGUCCGGAUUUAUUGGGUUUAAAGGGUGCGUAGGCGGCCCUGUAAGUCAGGGGUGAAAGCCCCCGGCCCAACCGGGGAAGUGCCUUUGAUACUGCGGGUCUCGAGCGGGAUAGGGGCAGCUGGAACUUCCGGUGGAGCGGUGAAAUGCGUAGAUAUCGGAAGGAACGCCGGUGGCGAAAGCGAGCUGCUGGAUCCCUCCUGACGCUGAGGCGCGAAAGCCAGGGGAGCGAACGGG